This 1346-nucleotide ribosomal RNA is filed under the name uncultured bacterium. RNAcentral describes it as "partial 16S ribosomal RNA". It matches the Rfam family "Bacterial small subunit ribosomal RNA", at positions 28 to 1381 of the family's 1533-position model. The record is from RNAcentral.
GACGAACGCUGGCGGCGUGCUUAACACAUGCAAGUCGAACGGAAAGGCCCUGCUUUUGUGGGGUGCUCGAGUGGCGAACGGGUGAGUAACACGUGAGUAACCUGCCCUUGACUUUGGGAUAACUUCAGGAAACUGGGGCUAAUACCGGAUAGGAGCUCCUGCUGCAUGGUGGGGGUUGGAAAGUUUCGGCGGUUGGGGAUGGACUCGCGGCUUAUCAGCUUGUUGGUGGGGUAGUGGCUUACCAAGGCUUUGACGGGUAGCCGGCCUGAGAGGGUGACCGGCCACAUUGGGACUGAGAUACGGCCCAGACUCCUACGGGAGGCAGCAGUGGGGAAUAUUGCACAAUGGGCGGAAGCCUGAUGCAGCAACGCCGCGUGCGGGAUGACGGCCUUCGGGUUGUAAACCGCUUUCGCCUGUGACGAAGCGUGAGUGACGGUAAUGGGUAAAGAAGCACCGGCUAACUACGUGCCAGCAGCCGCGGUGAUACGUAGGGUGCGAGCGUUGUCCGGGUUUAUUGGGCGUAAAGGGCUCGUAGGUGGUUGAUCGCGUCGGAAGUGUAAUCUUGGGGCUUAACCCUGAGCGUGCUUUCGAUACGGGUUGACUUGAGGAAGGUAGGGGAGAAUGGAAUUCCUGGUGGAGCGGUGGAAUGCGCAGAUAUCAGGAGGAACACCAGUGGCGAAGGCGGUUCUCUGGGCCUUUCCUGACGCUGAGGAGCGAAAGCGUGGGGAGCGAACAGGCUUAGAUACCCUGGUAGUCCACGCUGUAAACGGUGGGUACUAGGUGUGGGGUCCAUUCCACGGGUUCCGUGCCGUAGCUAACGCUUUAAGUACCCCGCCUGGGGAGUACGGCCGCAAGGCUAAAACUCAAAGGAAUUGACGGGGCCCCGCACAAGCGGCGGAGCAUGCGGAUUAAUUCGAUGCAACGCGUAGAACCUUACCUGGGUUUGACAUGGAUCGGGAGUGCUCAGAGAUGGGUGUGCCUCUUUUGGGGUCGGUUCACAGGUGGUGCAUGGCUGUCGUCAGCUCGUGUCGUGAGAUGUUGGGUUAAGUCCCGCAACGAGCGCAACCCUUGUUCACUGUUGCCAGCACGUUAUGGUGGGGACUCAGUGGAGACCGCCGGGGUCAACUCGGAGGAAGGUGGGGAUGACGUCAAGUCAUCAUGCCCCUUAUGUCCAGGGCUUCACGCAUGCUACAAUGGCUGGUACAGAGAGUGGCGAGCCUGUGAGGGUGAGCGAAUCUCGGAAAGCCGGUCUCAGUUCGGAUUGGGGUCUGCAACUCGACCUCAUGAAGUCGGAGUCGCUAGUAAUCGCAGAUCAGCAACGCUGCGGUGAAUACGUUCCCGGGGCU